AGACCUGGAUGCUGGGCAUCCUCGCUAGAUCCCCUACAAAUUCCCCACAUACGUAGGCCAGGAGCCUCAGCGGUGCCCCUUCAGGCUCAUCUGGCAAGACGGUACCAGCUUGCUCAGAACAGGGGCUGGCUAUUCAUCAUCUCAGAGCAUAGAGACCCUCUCCUUGCCACCCGGCCCUUCCCACCUGGUUGGUGACAAAUCACAAGUGACCAUCUACCUGGGGAACAGAGACUACAUAGACCAUGUCAGCCAAGUCCAGCCUGUGGGUAAGUUGCUUGGAGAAA
This 284-nucleotide long non-coding RNA is filed under the name Homo sapiens (human). RNAcentral describes it as "HSALNT0048834". Lineage: Eukaryota; Metazoa; Chordata; Mammalia; Primates; Hominidae. The record is from RNAcentral.